RNAcentral lists this ribosomal RNA (252 nucleotides) under uncultured bacterium. RNAcentral's name for it is "partial 16S ribosomal RNA". It matches the Rfam family "Bacterial small subunit ribosomal RNA", at positions 524 to 776 of the family's 1533-position model. The record is from RNAcentral.
UACGUAGGGGGCAAGCGUUGUCCGGAAUUAUUGGGCGUAAAGCGCGCGCAGGCGGCCUUGUAAGUCUGUUGUUUAAACUUGGGGCUCAACCCCAAGUCGCAAGGGAAACUGCAAAGCUUGAGUACAGAAGAGGAAAGUGGAAUUCCAUGUGUAGCGGUGAAAUGCGUAGAGAUGUGGAGGAACACCGACGGCGAAGGCAGCCCCCUGGGCUGACACUGACGCUCAGGCACGAAAGCGUGGGGAGCAAAAGGG